This 253-nucleotide ribosomal RNA is filed under the name uncultured bacterium. RNAcentral's name for it is "partial 16S ribosomal RNA". It matches the Rfam family "Bacterial small subunit ribosomal RNA", at positions 524 to 776 of the family's 1533-position model. The record is from RNAcentral.
UACGUAGGGUGCAAGCGUUAAUCGGAAUUACUGGGCGUAAAGCGUGCGCAGGCGGUUCGCCAAGUCAGGUGUGAAAUCCCCGGGCUCAACCUGGGAAUUGCGCUUGAAACUAGCGAGCUUGAGUGUGGCAGAGGGGGGUGGAAUUCCACGUGUAGCAGUGAAAUGCGUAGAGAUGUGGAGGAACACCGAUGGCGAAGGCAGCCCCCUGGGUCAACACUGACGCUCAUGCACGAAAGCGUGGGGAGCAAACAGG